Non-coding RNA from Acanthosepion pharaonis, 113 nucleotides. The record is from the annotation of a GenBank genome assembly. NCBI's taxonomy places the organism in Eukaryota, Metazoa, Mollusca, Cephalopoda, Sepiida, Sepiidae.
UACGACCACAUUGCGUUGAAACACAGGUUUCCGUACGAUCACCGAAGUUAAGCAAUGUUGAGCCUGGUCAGCACCUACAAGGCUGACGGCUUGGGAAUACCAGGUGCAGUAAG